CAUGGCUCAGGAUGAAUGCUGGCGGCGUGCCUAACACAUGCAAGUCGAGCGGCAGCGAGUUUUACACUGAAUUCUGGAAGCUUCUGAGUAGUACAGAAGAUUUAUUCAAGAGUUUUGUGUAAAAUGUCGGCGAGCGGCGGACGGCUGAGUAACGCGUAGGAAUUUGCCCCAAAGUGAGGAAUAACUGCCCGAAAGGGUAGCUAAUGCCGCAUAUGGUCUUCGGAUUAAAGCCUUCGGGCGCUUUGGGAGAAGCCUGCGUUGGAUUAGGUAGUUGGUAGGGUAAUGGCCUACCAAGCCGACGAUCCAUAGCUGGUCUGAGAGGAUGAUCAGCCAGACUGGAACUGAGACACGGUCCAGACUCCUACGG
This 367-nucleotide ribosomal RNA is filed under the name uncultured bacterium. RNAcentral's name for it is "bacterial SSU rRNA". It matches the Rfam family "Bacterial small subunit ribosomal RNA", at positions 18 to 344 of the family's 1533-position model. The record is from RNAcentral.